GAUGAACGCUGGCGGCGUGCUUAACACAUGCAAGUCGAACGGGAAUUAUUUUAUUGAAACUUCGGUCGAUUUACUUUAAUUCUAGUGGCGGACGGGUGAGUAACGCGUGGGUAACCUGCCUUAUACAGGGGGAUAACAGUCAGAAAUGGCUGCUAAUACCGCAUCAGCGCACAGAGCUGCAUGGCUCAGUGUGAAAAACUCCGGUGGCAUAAGAUGGACCCGCGUUGGAUUAGCUGGUUGGUGGGGUAACGGCCCACCAAGGCGACGAUCCAUAGCCGGCAUGAGAGGGUGAACGGCCACAUUGGGACUGAGACACGGCCCAGACUCCUACGGGAGGCAGCAGUGGGGAAUAUUGCACAAUGGGGGAAACCCUGAUGCAGCGACGCCGCGUGAAGGAAGAAGUAUCUCGGUAUGUAAACUUCUAUCAGCAGGGAAGAUAGUGACGGUACCUGACUAAGAAGCCCCGGCUAACUACGUG
This 478-nucleotide ribosomal RNA is filed under the name uncultured bacterium. RNAcentral describes it as "partial 16S ribosomal RNA". It matches the Rfam family "Bacterial small subunit ribosomal RNA", at positions 28 to 507 of the family's 1533-position model. The record is from RNAcentral.